This 477-nucleotide ribosomal RNA is filed under the name uncultured bacterium. RNAcentral describes it as "partial 16S ribosomal RNA". It matches the Rfam family "Bacterial small subunit ribosomal RNA", at positions 355 to 825 of the family's 1533-position model. The record is from RNAcentral.
UAGGGAAUCUUCCACAAUGGACGCAAGUCUGAUGGAGCAACGCCGCGUGAGUGAAGAAGGUUUUCGGACCGUAAAGCUCUGUUGUUGGUGAAGAAGGAUAGAGGUAGUAACUGGCCUUUAUUUGACGGUAAUCAACCAGAAAGUCACGGCUAACUACGUGCCAGCAGCCGCGGUAAUCGUAGGUGGCAAGCGUUGUCCGGAUUUAUUGGGCGUAAAGCGAGCGCAGGCGGAAGAAUAGGUCUGAUGUGAAAGCCCUCGGCUUAACCGAGGAAUUGCAUCGGAAACUGUUUUUCUUGAGUGCAGAAGAGGAGAGUAGAACUCCAUGUGUAGCGGUGGAAUGCGUAGAUAUAUGGAAGAAUACCAGUGGCGAAGGCGGCUCUCUGGUCUGCAACUGACGCUGAGGCUCGAAAGCAUGGGUAGCGAACAGGAUUAGAUACCCUGGUAGUCCAUGCCGUAAACGAUGAGUGCUAAGUGUUG